CUCUCUAUUUGCCUGGAUUCGAUUG
RNAcentral lists this microRNA (25 nucleotides) under Pristionchus pacificus. RNAcentral's name for it is "ppc-miR-8250a-5p". Lineage: Eukaryota; Metazoa; Nematoda; Chromadorea; Rhabditida; Neodiplogasteridae. The record is from miRBase by way of RNAcentral.